UUUCUGUUGUAUGCAGAGCACGUACGCGGUGUUUUUUUGUGCCCUUUUUGGAGUUUCGUAUAUUUCUCGCGCAUAUUUACGUUUAAUGAAACGAACAUUUAACAAACAAGAACUGUGUACGUUUAGUGUUUAUUGUGUGUUUAACAAAGUGACCAAAAUAUAAAUAUAAUACAUCAAAUUGUAUGGCUUCCCAAUACAUUUUUGUUUUUGUGCGCGUCGUACUCAUUGAAAUGACAAACUAAUAAUAAUAAAAAAAAAUCAAAUUGGAUUAUCGCCAAGCCCCGUGCUAAUGUUGGCCGACACUGCCACACUUAUGGCCACAUUUCUGCAAUCCAAUUGGAACAAUAACAAGAACUGCCCCUAGCUAACAAUUUAAUUGCCAUUGCACAAAAACUGUUUGUGCUGAUAAGAAGAGGCCAGAACACAUCGUGGAAAACCCUUACACCCAACCUUAAGCCCCUCUGCCAUCCACCAACAAGGGAUAGUUCAACAUGUCUACCCAAUCGCUAUAUCGCUGCCUCUUGCCUCACGUCCCGCCACUUCGAGCAACGUAGAGUUUCUUCUGUUUUGUCUCAUAUUCUUCCAACAAAAUUGUGGCAAUUGCAACAACAACAACAACAACAAAUAUAAUAAUAAUAAGAACAAAGUCUUGUGAAAAUUCCUGCCAACAGCAACAAGUGAAACGCAAAGAAGAAAAAAAAAACAUUUAAAAACUAAAUAUAACAAAUCAAAAACAACAACAAACUACACUGAGAGAAACGCUCGAGCGUGUUUGGUGCCGUUUUGUGGUCUUGUUACUUCGUGAUUUCGUCGCCGUCGUCAGCGUUUGCCGCCGACGGAGGAGGACGAGAGACGCGAAGCAACGAGCCGUAGCCAAAGCCUCAACACGGACGCAUUUAUGGAUGCGGGCGGCCUGCCAGUGUUCCAGAGCGCCAGCCAAGCAGCAGCAGCCGCCGUCGCCCAGCAGCAACAACAACAGCAGCAGCAACAGCAACAACAGCAG
This 1003-nucleotide small RNA is filed under the name Drosophila virilis. Its description in RNAcentral is "GJ25734". The record is from RNAcentral. Lineage: Eukaryota; Metazoa; Arthropoda; Insecta; Diptera; Drosophilidae.